This 75-nucleotide small RNA is filed under the name Flavobacterium psychrophilum DSM 3660 = ATCC 49418. RNAcentral describes it as "Flavo-1 RNA". Lineage: Bacteria; Pseudomonadati; Bacteroidota; Flavobacteriia; Flavobacteriales; Flavobacteriaceae. The record is from RNAcentral.
GAAUUUCGUUGCUGGCAAAAUUGUUUUAUUUUUCUGAUUAUAGAUAAAAAAUUGCAACGGAUAGCAGGAAUAACU